UGGGGGAUAUUGCACAAUGGGCGAAAGCCUGAUGCAGCGACGCCGCGUGGGGGAUGAAUGCCUUCGUGUUGUAAACUUCUUUUGCUCUGAACAAGGCAUGCCUUUGGGGUGUGUUGAGCGUAGGGGUUGAUUAGCUCCGGCUAACUACGUGCCAGCAGCUGCGGUAAUACGUAGGGCGCGAGCGUUGUCUGGCAUUAGUGGGCGUAAAGGGCUUGUAGGUGGCUGGUUGCGUCUGUCGUGAAAGCUCAUGGCUUAACUGUGGGUUUGCAGUGGGUGCGGGCUGGCUUGAGUGAAGUAGGAGAGGCUGGAAUUCCUGGUGUAGCGGUGGAAUGCGCAGAUAUCAGGAGGAAUACCGGUGGGGAAGGCGGGUCUCUGGGCUGUUACUGACGCUGAGGAGCGAAAGCAUGGGGAGCGAACAGG
Molecule: ribosomal RNA, 420 nt
Filed under: Fusobacteriota bacterium
Lineage: Bacteria; Fusobacteriati; Fusobacteriota
Description: Fusobacteria bacterium partial 16S ribosomal RNA
Rfam family: Bacterial small subunit ribosomal RNA
Source: RNAcentral